RNAcentral lists this ribosomal RNA (504 nucleotides) under uncultured bacterium. RNAcentral's name for it is "partial 16S ribosomal RNA". It matches the Rfam family "Bacterial small subunit ribosomal RNA", at positions 29 to 523 of the family's 1533-position model. The record is from RNAcentral.
AUUGAACGCUGGCGGCAGGCCUAACACAUGCAAGUCGAACGGUAGCACAGAGAGCUUGCUCUCGGGUGACGAGUGGCGGACGGGUGAGUAAUGUCUGGGAAACUGCCCGAUGGAGGGGGAUAACUACUGGAAACGGUAGCUAAUACCGCAUAACGUCGCAAGACCAAAGUGGGGGACCUUCGGGCCUCACACCAUCGGAUGUGCCCAGAUGGGAUUAGCUGGUAGGUGGGGUAAUGGCUCACCUAGGCGACGAGCCCUAGCUGGUCUGAGAGGACGACCAGCCACACUGGCACUGAGACACGGUCCAGACUCCUACGGGGGGCAGCAGUGGGAAAUAUUGCACAAUGGGCGCAAGCCUGAUGCAGACAUGCCGCGUGUAUGAAGAAGGCCUUCGGGUUGUAAAGUACUUUCAGCGGGGAGGAAGGCGGUGAAGUUAAUAACUUCACCGAUUGACGUUACCCGCAGAAGAAGCACCGGCUAACUCCGUGCCAGCAGCCGCGGUAA